GAGUUUCAGACACGUCUUGAGGGCUGGGACGCCAGGAGUACACUGGCAUCUUUUGAGAAAGAACUCAUCCCAAGACAAAAGCUAGAUGGUCUUUGCCGAGAGUGAUGAGCACAAUCCUGGGGAGGGAAAGAGUAAGGACAGCUAGGGGAACACCUGGCGUUGACCACUCAGGUCAGCCUCUAGCCUGGCCCCUGAGGGCUUGCACCUCAGGAGACUCAGAGAAGGCUACUUGCCCAAGAGUCCCGGUGAGACCUGAGGAGCCCAAGGCCAGCGGCGUUGGAACUGACACAUGGCCCUGGACAGAGGCAGAUGUGUCCCCUCAGGGGAGGGUGCCACGCACCAUCUGUGGCAGUCGGUACCCACAUGGCCAACAUCCUACCCACCCCGUCCCUCCCUCGGCCCCUUGACAGGGCACGUUCUUGAGCUUUGGAGGCACCAGGGCAGCUGCUGCAGACGUCACCUCAAAGAGCUGGAGCUGAGAGACAAGGACUCAGCUUCUGAGCUCAGGCAGGACAUUUUCUGGAACAGCCCCAAAGGGAAAACCCAGGAGCCCUGCCCAGGGGCUGAGGCAGGCACAAAGCCCGAGAAAGAUGUUAGUUCCUGUUCACAUGACUGUUUUUCAGCCCAAGACUUGCAUGACUGGGGAGAUGGGGGUCCAAGAUGCUUGAAAAUCACCUGAGCUGGUAGCUCUGAAAGAUUGUGAAAAGGGGCAAAAGGGGCCCGCCGAGCACAGGGCAUUUUCUAUCAGCGCCAUCAGAAACUCCCUGGCAGGCGGGGCCUGUGGAAGAGGUGUGCCAGCUGUCCCAUCCUCUCAGAAGCCUGACAUGCAUGCCAGCCAGUGUUGACCCGCUCAGCCUGCUCUUUCUGGCAACAGAGUUAUAUUGUGCACAGUGAUUCUUUGUUCGCUUUUGGUUGAAAAACUGUAUUCCUCCCGGCCACUUUGAAGCCGGAAGAGCCGGACAAAAGGACUGAGAGCUGAUCCCGCCUGGGGGCCCAGCCUCCUGCCUCUCGGCCCCCCUGCUUUGUGCAAGUUCCAGCUCUUCCUCACCCUUUCUUCGGAGACUGUCCUCCCACCCAGAUCAACCGGACCUCAAGCGUCACACGUGUGUCCCCGCGCGGUGCCUGCCACGGAGCAGGUCCUCAGGAAAUGUUGGGUUCCUUUUCCUUUCUUUUCCUUUUUUCUUUGGUUCCCCUUGCUGCCGACCUCCCCCUUGGGUUCUGCCUCCUGGGCUUUACUGGUAGCAAAGAACAAAGAUGCAGUCAAGUCACUUCAGGAAAAAGGGGUUUUAUUGGCAAGCAAGACGUGAAUGGGAAAGGAAACAGAAACUCCGAGGGUCUGGGGUCACCACAUCUGUGUCCCCUCUCCCAAAGGCCCCAGAGUCUCCCGUCCCUCCCUCCUCCAUCUGUCCAGCCUCCUCCUCAGUUCUGCUCACACUUGGCCACCCACCUCAUGAGCUUUCACUUUGGUCCUCUGCUCGCUCGGUUUCUGUGAUCCCCAACUGGAAUUUUCCAAGGCAGGAACUGAUGAGUCCACCUUUUCAGGGCACGGAUGCUGGCGGGGCAGCCCUGUGGGUCAGCUGCAGAGGCGGGUGGCCAUGUGGGACAGAGCAGGGCGGCCACCCUGUGCCUCAGUAGUGUACUGACUCCUCUGCUCUGGCCCUGUGGAUGAGACGUGGCCCCACCACAUUCACAGUGACAUCAGAACCAGCGCCCCUUAUCCAGAACCUUCUCAGGGGCAUUUUGAGCCUCAGAGAAGCCCGUGGCCUCAGCUGCUGGGAGAGUCCGUGGACAGGCCAGGCCAGAGGUUAGGUGCAGUUCAGCAGGGAGGCUGGGUGGGGGAGUGCCAGAGACACUGGCACUGAGCUGGCACUUGUCCCCUUUCUCCUCACUGUCCCUUCUCCCUGAGAUGCAGAGUGAGGAGCUGAGAACGGCCUCACUGGCCUCUCCAAGGUCAGACUGGCCUUCCUUUCUCAGGGGAGAGUAGUUAUUGACCACUUGUGGGGUUAGAAAAACUGCUUCUGAUUUUCCCUGGGCCCGUCAUGGCACGAAAGGUCCCCAGAGGCCAGGAAAUGGUUUGGGCCACCUGACACUAACGUCAGAGAACGCCAAAAAUGCGCCACGGAGGUGGCAAGUGCAGGAAGCGAGGCAACAAAGGGAAGCGUUUGGAAUUACUAAAAGUUAGAAAUAGGAGAGCGCCCUGCAUGGGCUGGGACCCAGAUAUCUGAGGUGGGGCACCUCCCAGCUGGCACUGACAUCUCAGGGGUUGGCGGGGGGCGAUCAAGUUGGUUCUACGUGUUGGGAACCUGUAAAUUGGACUUAGCUGCUGCCCUGGGAAGGAAGCACUGCUGCUGGGGUGAGGAUGCCCUACGGAGCCGCUCCCAGGAGCACAAGGGAAGCAGGAAGGAGCGGGUCUCUCCCCUCCAGCUUUCUCGUCCUCUUCUAGCACCUCCUACUGGCAGACUCCAACAGGGAGCAGCCGGCCGCACAGAAGGGACACGAGAAGACUAGCGCACCCAUGAGCGGGAGCUGGAGC
Equus asinus (donkey) is the source of this 2533-nucleotide long non-coding RNA. NCBI's taxonomy places the organism in Eukaryota, Metazoa, Chordata, Mammalia, Perissodactyla, Equidae. The record is from Ensembl.